RNAcentral lists this ribosomal RNA (254 nucleotides) under uncultured bacterium. RNAcentral describes it as "partial 16S ribosomal RNA". It matches the Rfam family "Bacterial small subunit ribosomal RNA", at positions 524 to 776 of the family's 1533-position model. The record is from RNAcentral.
UACGUAGGGGGCAAGCGUUGUCCGGAUUUAUUGGGCGUAAAGAGCUCGUAGGCGGUUUGGUAAGUCAGGUGUGAAAUCUCCACGCUCAACGUGGAGGGGCCACCUGAUACUGCCAUGACUGGAGUCCGGUAGAGGAGUGUGGAAUUCCCGGUGUAGCGGUGAAAUGCGCAGAUAUCGGGAGGAACACCAGUGGCGAAGGCGGCUCACUGGUCCGGUACUGACGCUGAGGUGCGAAAGCGUGGGGAGCAAACAGG